RNAcentral lists this ribosomal RNA (409 nucleotides) under bacterium. RNAcentral's name for it is "partial 16S ribosomal RNA". It matches the Rfam family "Bacterial small subunit ribosomal RNA", at positions 355 to 776 of the family's 1533-position model. The record is from RNAcentral.
UGGGGAAUAUUGCACAAUGGGCGAAAGCCUGAUGCAGCGACGCCGCGUGAGGGAUGACGGCCUUCGGGUUGUAAACCUCUUUCAGUAGGGACGAAGCGCAAGUGACGGUACCUGCAGAAGAAUCACCGGCUAACUACGUGCCAGCAGCCGCGGUAAUACGUAGGGUGCGAGCGUUGUCCGGAAUUACUGGGCGUAAAGAGCUCGUAGGCGGUUUGUCACGUCGUCUGUGAAAUCCUAGGGCUUAACCCUGGACGUGCAGGCGAUACGGGCUGACUUGAGUACUACAGGGGAGACUGGAAUUUCUGGUGUAGCGGUGGAAUGCACAGAUAUCAGGAAGAACACCGAUGGCGAAGGCAGGUCUCUGGGUAGUAACUGACGCUGAGGAGCGAAAGCAUGGGUAGCGAACAGG